RNAcentral lists this long non-coding RNA (5155 nucleotides) under Heterocephalus glaber (naked mole-rat). Its description in RNAcentral is "lncRNA (ENSHGLG00000041893.1)". The record is from RNAcentral. Lineage: Eukaryota; Metazoa; Chordata; Mammalia; Rodentia; Bathyergidae.
AGGAGUUCUACCAAGGGCGGGGAAGCGAGGCCCUGGGAACCACUGUCCAGCCAGGCUCCCUGAGCCUCUGGCUCCUGUAAGCCAGAUCUCCAGGCCCAGGCAGGGUCUGAGGGCUGUGGGGUGCAGGACCAGCCCUCCCCUCAGGCUUGUUUCUGAGCUGCCCCACAGUGUGGUGUCGGGUCACAGUACCUGACACACCAGCCCCUGGAAAACAGAGAAGAUGCUGACUUCUUAAUGGGACUCAGUGGAAACUUGCAGUGUGACCCCUCCGUCUUUCCAAGUUGCAUCCCAUGUCAGAGGCCAGCACUUAGCCCACCGCAGUGAGCACCUGGAGCCACACAGUGGCCGGGCUUGAGAGGCAGGGAAGGCUGGGGUUCUGGGGAUGCGGCCCCAGGAAGCAGGCCACACUCACGGUGCCCCUGGGAGCUGUAAGCGGGUGACCGCAUGGCCCUUCCUCUCUCUCCCUCCCUCUGUGCAAUACCUCUCCCUUUUCUGACAGCGUACUUACUUAUGCUCUGACUCCGACACCCAGUUGUCCCAUUUGUGAAGGAGGGAGGCGGGAGCAGGUUGGUAGUGACCUUUGCGAUUGUUCACAAAGACACAACCUGGACCGAUGCCAGGGUGAGCAUGUCCACCCCUGCAGGCUGCCCGUGCCUUGGCCCGCUCCUGGGAGCCAUUCUGGAAGGUGGUUCCUGAGUCGUGGGCAAAGAACGCCCAGUGCAGAGUGACGCCCUUCCCCACUGCUGUGUGACCGGGCCUGGCCCAGAGCAGAGCUGCCGUGUGAGCCUGGCAUCACCUCACCACGCUGGCCCAGCGGGCAAGGUACUGGCCCGGAUUCAGUCUGCGGUCACAGUCAAGAACUGGAGUAACCGCGAGGGCGCCAGCUGGGCAGGGUGCUGCACCCCCCUUAAUCCUGGGACUCUGGGAGGCUGAGGCAGGAGGGUCAGAGGUUUGAGCCACGCUGGGCAGCUCAGUGAGACCCUGUGUCUAAAGAAAAGUUAAAAAGGGCUGGGGCUGGAGCUCAGGGCAAAGGCUCUGGGUUCAAAUCCCAUAGGGGCUGGGCUGGGCUGGGACUGGGACAAAGAGGUCUCUGGAUGGGUGAGCGGGCGCCUGGCGACAGCAGGGCUCACCAGGCCUGGUGCGGUGGGACCUGCUAGCUACAAGCAAGGCUGUGCGUGGGUCACUGUAAUACGGUGUCUUCACCUCUUCCCGGAGAGGCCCUACAGGGGAAAACCUGGGGCCAAAGGAAUUUCGUUCUUUUCUCUUUUUUGGUACCGGGAUGGAACUCAGGACCUUGCACUUUCGAGGCAGGCGGUGGAACCACUGAGCUACAUUCCCAGCUCAGGAAUUUGUCUUCCUUUCUGAGGCGUCUCCACACUGAUCUCUGCAGUGUUGUACCUGCGUACUCCCCCACCCGUGGGGAAGGCCCCUCGCCAGCGCCUUGUUACUGCUGGGUUUCUUGAAGAUGGCCCUGCCCUCUGGGGAUGGUGGGACUGCGGUGCUGCCUUUAAUUUAAUCCCUUAUUCUCAGCGUUGCUGUUUACUCCCUUCAAGUCCUGAACUCACACAGGUAGUUUCAAAGUUGCCAACCCUUUGUGCCAUGAAAAAGAAAACCUACUGGAGUUGAAGCUCAGCACUUUUCCUUUUGGGGAGAGGUGGGCAGGCAGGGAGAGGCGGGGCUGAGUGAGUCUGUGGCACAGAUGCCCACACCGCCCACCGGGCCUCCGCUCUUCGGCCCUGCCACGGGAAGCCCUGCGUCUGCGCUUUCCAGCCCUCCCUGCUGUCGGGGCUCAGCCAGGGAGGCUGUUGGCAGCCCCUUUAUCAGGAGGUGGGAAUGCCUGGGGCCCAGGCAAUGGGACAUCAAAUGUCCUUGACGGAGAAAGGGUAAUUUCAUCCAGGUUCCUCAAACACUCGGAAUGGAGCCAGCGUGUGGCACGCUGCAGUUGGCUUCUGGGUGCUCACAUCCAAGGCUGCGGAGCUGGUGUGGCAAGGAGACACCUACACGCCACGUCCACCACAGCUGAGGAAAAACAGUGCACCCAGGCAUGCCCCACCAAUGAGCGUGUGAAGGGACAGUGGACGCGCAUGGCAGCAUGCCGUGAGCCUCACAGAAGAGGGAAACAUGUCCUUUCUGACACACAGGUGAAUCUGGGCGAUGUUAAGUAAGACACACCAAGCAACAACAACAAUACCUGUGUGUGUGCGGUGCUGGGGACUGGACCCAGGACCUUCACACUGAGCUACAUCCCCACCUUUUCAUUUUCUGUUUUGAGACAGGGUCUCGCUAACUUGCUCAGUUGCCCAAGCUGGGCUCAAACUUGCCAUCCUCCUGCCUCUGCCUCCCAGUGCUGGGAUGACAGGCGUGCACCACCACACUUAGUUCCUGCUCUAACUUUUCAACAAAAUCCAUUACACUGUAGGAAAAGGUAAAAGAAAACUACGCGAUGGCUUUCUGGAUCUUUGUGUUCUAAACGCUGCCCUAACUUCUUGGAGAAGGCUUGUCGGUCAGUCGGGACUCAAGAAAGCCCUGGGCCUCCCAGGAGGCGCCGCCCCUCCUCGGCCCCAUGCACUGGCCUUGGGGAACCCUUCGGGUUGCCCAGACGCGAGGAUGGGGCUCCUCCUCCUCCACAGGCCCAGCACUGCCUCUGCUGAGGGUAGAUUUUGUUGGAUUCAUAUGCUUGUAGAAAGCAUAGAGAUACAAGUUUAGAAGGAGAAGCAGUCACAGUGGGAACAAGGAGAAGCGAGGAGAGAGGCCGCUUCCCUUGCUGGAGCCGGAGCUCGAGGGCCUUGGUUCCCAGCGCCUCUCCCGAGAGUUACACCUGCAUCAGCUGCUCCUAGGCUCAGACCCUGCCUUGGCCGUGGACCCUCCCUGCCCUUGCACUCUCCCCUCUCUCCGUGAGAUUUGUGACGGGGCCUCAGGCUGACGGCCAAGUUAGCAAGUAUUAAGAGGUACGUGCGCAUGUCAGUGCAUUCACAUGCUGAGAGAAUAAUAAAAUACAGGGCCGGGAUUUAGCUCAGUGGUCAUGCCUGCCUUGCAAGCACAAGGUCCCCAGUUCGAUCCCCGGUACCCAAAGAAACCAACAACAUACCUGCAUUUAUACACAGGUGCCUGAGCAACCAGGCACAAAUGUACAGCUGCCCCUGAAGUGUGUUUCCCUGCAAUUCAGCCUGUCCACUGCGGCCCCUCUGCACCUGGCUGGAGCCCAGAGGAGGACCUGGGCCUGCGACACCCUGCUCAUGCUCCGCCUGUCCUGCUCCCUCCAGGUCAGGGGUUUGCCGAGUCCUUCCCUUCCCUGCCCUGACCCCUGCCCUGACAAAGCCCUCCCGACGGAUGCAGGUGCCGGUAGAUAAAGGACAGGGACUGACGAUGUCUUACUGCAUCUGUGCACAUUUUAGUCAGUUCACCAAGCACCUCCCAGGCCGCAGGGCCCAGCGGGGCUGCGCUCCUGCCUGGCCCUACUGGUCCCAGUCCUUGACGAUGCUCAGGACGCCCCGCUCAGGGGCGGGGCCUGCCAGCCUGGCCAGCACGUCCAGCCCUCCGUGCUCCUUCUCCCUGGAGGACACAAAGUGGGCAGCUCCUGCACCCGGACCCCGGGGCGCCCGCCCGUGUCCCCGUCCCUGUCCCCGUGGCCUGCGCAGCUCCCGGAUCUGUGCGGGCCAGGCCGAUUGGGACCGCAGGGCAGGAGCCCGGGCACCGCUUACCGGAGGACAACGUUGCAUGCCUGCGCGGUGGCCGCUGACCAAGGCCUGCUGGCCCCGCUCCCCAACAUCGUUCCCGCUCACGUCCAGGUGCCUCAGCUCCAGGUUGGUGCCCGGCACAGCCGGCCAGGGCAAGGCAGCCAGCAGAGGACAUGCAGGUGGCAGCUGGGGCACGCCAGGGCCUCGCACAGAGUGGCGGCGCCGUCAUCCCCGAGGGUCAUUGAGGCUGAGGUCCAGGCUUUGGAGGCGCGCUGCUCUCUCGAGAGCUGAGGCCACGUCCUGACAGCAAGCCGAGGUCAGAGCACACCUUCUCAGCCUGCAGAGGAGCCCGGGUCACUGAGCACCCAGACAGCCACAUUUGCUCCCCACUGCCCCCCUUGCAGAGCACUAAGUCAUUCCUAUUUCUCACUCUUCCCCAGGCUUUCUAGCUCUGGUGAAACAGAGAACUUGCUUUCCCUCACCAUGGCUUUCCUCCUUUUCGGACAUAUCCUGUGAAGUGCAUGGUGUAGUACGUGACCUUUGGGUGCUUGGUGUCUUCCACUUAGACUAUUCUCAAGGUUUCUCCAUGUCUUAGCAUGAACCAGCAUGUUCCUUUUUAUGGCUGCAUAGUAUUCCAGCGGCAAAGUUACGCACAUUUUCUUUGUUCCUUCAUUGGUUUUCAGACACAUGGGAUCUCGCCUCUUUACUCCUGUGAAUGCUGCAGGAAUAUGUGCAGGUUUUCGUGUGGAUGUAGGGCUUUAUUUUCUUGUGUUUGUGCCUAGCAGUGAGACCGAGGACUCAUGUGCUGACUCUGUCUUCCACCACUUGAGGAACAGCCAAGAACGUCUUCCUGAAGUGCCAGCACCUUCUCCUGCUUCUCCGGGGAAAGCUCAAAGUGUCAGUGCUUCCUCAGGGCUGCGCCUGGACAGAAGCCCGAGGCGCUGUGCACAAACCACUCACAGGACGUGAGGACCCUGCUGGGCUGACAGCCCGCUCCUGCAGGGGCUCCGCUCACCCAGCACCUCGGAUCGGCCCUUGGCACACAGGACAGAGAGGGAGAGAAAACAUGUGGGAGAGACACAAGGGAAUGCUCCAAGAAAGAAGGGAAUCCUGCCUCUCUGGGAGGCUGAGGCAGGAGGCUACCAAGUUUAAGCCCAGGCUACUUACCAAGCCCCCCGUCUCAGAAUCACUCAGAGUAGCUCAGUGCAAAGAUCCUGGGUUUAAUCCCCAGUGCCACAAAAUAAAUAAAAUAAAUAAAGGAACAUUUAAAAAAAGGAAAUUCCGUCAUUUGUCACAACAUGGUGAAACUGGGGGCCAUCGUAUUGAGCAAGCACAGCCCGGCACAAGGAGCUGAAAUCUCACAGCAGUCAGGAGAACAGUGGUCGCCAGAGGCCAGGAAGGGACAGGAGAGGAUGGGACUGGUGUCAAACAGUCAGACAGGAGGAAGGCAGCCUAGUGCUCCCAGCACAGAAAGGGAC